RNAcentral lists this ribosomal RNA (497 nucleotides) under uncultured bacterium. RNAcentral describes it as "partial 16S ribosomal RNA". It matches the Rfam family "Bacterial small subunit ribosomal RNA", at positions 28 to 507 of the family's 1533-position model. The record is from RNAcentral.
GACGAACGCUGGCGGCGUGCCUAAUACAUGCAAGUUGAGCGCUGAAGGUUGGUACUUGUACCGACUGGAUGAGCAGCGAACGGGUGAGUAACGCGUGGGGAAUCUGCCUUUGAGCGGGGGACAACAUUUGGAAACGAAUGCUAAUACCGCAUAAAAACUUUAAACACAAGUUUUAAGUUUGAAAGAUGCAAUUGCAUCACUCAAAGAUGAUCCCGCGUUGUAUUAGCUAGUUGGUGAGGUAAAGGCUCACCAAGGCGAUGACACAUAGCCGACCUGAGAGGGUGAUCGGCCACAUUGGGACUGAGACACGGCCCAAACUCCUACGGGAGGCAGCAGUAGGGAAUCUUCGGCAAUGGACGAAAGUCUGACCGAGCAACGCCGCGUGAGUGAAGAAGGGUUUCGGAUCGUAAAACUCUGUUGGUAGAGAAGAACGUUGGUGAGAGUGGAAAGCUCAUCAAGUGACGGUAACUACCCAGAAAGGGACGGCUAACUACGUG